UAAAUUUUAUAAGAAAAUAAUGUAGGAAAAC
RNAcentral lists this non-coding RNA (31 nucleotides) under Mus musculus (house mouse). The record is from RNAcentral. Lineage: Eukaryota; Metazoa; Chordata; Mammalia; Rodentia; Muridae.